GCGAGGUAUUUUAAUGUGGGGCGGGAGGAGUAACGAGAUAACGUAAAGGCAUAGAUAAACGGCCUUCUAAGCCGUCGGUCGGGAGUUCGAAUCUCUCCUGGGACGUACCA
Molecule: transfer RNA, 110 nt
Filed under: Pradoshia sp. D12
Lineage: Bacteria; Bacillati; Bacillota; Bacilli; Caryophanales; Bacillaceae
Description: tRNA-Arg
Source: RNAcentral